CUCCAUGCACCGGGAGCCCGACGUGGGACUCGAUCCCGGGUCUCCAGGAUUGUGCCCUGGGCCGAAGGCAGGCGCCAAACCGCUACGCCACCCAGGGAUCCCCCAUUGCUAAUUUUAAAUGCACUUACAGUAUGGUGUCUAUUAUACUAGAAUUAUUUUUAUCUGAUUUUUGCUAUUUAUUAUCCGUUCCUGCUUUUCAGGUUGAGGAGGCAUUAUACGUGUUCAUAAGUGUUUUUCUUUCCUUCUGAUCUAAAAUUCUUACUUUGUUUCCAUCAAAGGAACUCUUUAAGAACAAGGCAACAGUUAAUUAAACUAUUCUUAAAAUGUCUUCACACUUGGAGCCUGAUUCAUUUAAGUCAAUUUUCAAAAUAAAUCUUAUUUAUUAGGAAAAAAACAAAGAUUUAUAGGGAAAUUGAGAAGAUAGUAUAGUGCAUUCACAUGCACUUGCACUCAAUUUCUCCAAUUAUUGAUAUCUUAUAUUAGUACGGUACAAAUAUGAGCUAAUGAAUCAAUAUUAAAAUAGUCACAUUAACCAAAGACGAUACUUUAUUCAGAUUUCCUUAGUUUUUGCUAAGUUACCAUCCCUCAUAUUACAUUCCAUUUGUCCUCAUUUUUUCUUAGGCUCCUCUGGAUUGUGACAGUCUUUCAGCCUUUCCUUGUUGUUGUUGAACUGGAACACUUUGAGAAGGAGAGUAUUUUGAAAAAUUUCCCUCAGUUGGGACAUGUCUGUCGUUUAUCUCAUGAUUGAACUGUUUUUGUGGAUUAUAUACAGAGAUAUGCUGCCAUUUUUAUUAUAUCAUAUAAAGGAUAGAUACUAUCACAUGAUUUAUCAGUCUUGGUAUCGAUCUGAUCAUCUUGCUAAGUGUAUUAUCAUUAUUAUUUUAGGUUUUUCAUAAUAUAUUUGUAGAAGGAAGUUACUACGUGUAUUGCACACAUAAGAGUGGGAAGCUAUGCUCAUGAACUUGACGGUGGAAUGUCUGCACAAAUUCUUUGAAAUUCUUCUACAUGGGAGAUUUCUCUUCCCUCCAGACUGUUGUGCCCAAGAUUGCGAAUCUGAGAAACCACCGAGAAGCUGACAUGAUGCAAAC
Molecule: long non-coding RNA, 1088 nt
Organism: Canis lupus familiaris (dog)
Lineage: Eukaryota; Metazoa; Chordata; Mammalia; Carnivora; Canidae
Exons: 3
Source: RefSeq, a predicted model, not a curated record